ACCAAUUCUGGGAGAUUGUUUUUGGUUCUUCUAGGUAUAAUGGCUUGGGCGCUAUAUCCAGUCUUUGUGGUCAUCCUGAUCCAUGGCCUCUUCCAUGCCAUUUGAUCCUGGAAACACCCCAUACAUAC
This 128-nucleotide small nucleolar RNA is filed under the name Macleaya cordata. The record is from RNAcentral. Lineage: Eukaryota; Viridiplantae; Streptophyta; Magnoliopsida; Ranunculales; Papaveraceae.